AUACGUAGGGGGCGAGCGUUGUCCGGAAUGAUUGGGCGUAAAGGGCGCGUAGGCGGCGCGGUAAGUCUGGAGUGAAAGUCCUGCUUUCAAGGUGGGAAUUGCUUUGGAUACUGCCGCGCUUGAGUGCAGGAGAGGUUAUCGGAAUUCCCGGUGUAGCGGUGAAAUGCGUAGAGAUCGGGAGGAACACCAGUGGCGAAGGCGGGGAACUGGACUGCAACUGACGCUGAGGCGCGAAAGUGUGGGGAGCAAACAGGAUUAGAUACCCUGGUAGCCCACACUGUAAACGAUGAAAGCUAGGUGUAAGAGGUAUCGACCCCUUUUGUGCCGGAGUCAACACAAUAAGCAUUCCGCCUGGGGAGUACGGCCGCAAGGUUGAAACUCAAAGGAAUUGACGGG
This 396-nucleotide ribosomal RNA is filed under the name uncultured bacterium. Its description in RNAcentral is "partial 16S ribosomal RNA". It matches the Rfam family "Bacterial small subunit ribosomal RNA", at positions 523 to 917 of the family's 1533-position model. The record is from RNAcentral.